This 460-nucleotide ribosomal RNA is filed under the name uncultured bacterium. RNAcentral describes it as "partial 16S ribosomal RNA". It matches the Rfam family "Bacterial small subunit ribosomal RNA", at positions 338 to 795 of the family's 1533-position model. The record is from RNAcentral.
CCUACGGGUGGCAGCAGUGAGGAAUAUUGGUCAAUGGCCGUAAGACUGAACCAGCCAAGCAGCGUGAAGGACGACGGUCCCAAGCAUUGUAAACUUCUUUUGUCAAGGGACAAAAUCAGGCUCGUGAGCCUUACCGUAGGUACUUCAUGAAUAAGCAUCGGCUAACUCCGUGCCAGCAGCCGCGGUAAUACGGAGGGUACGGGCGUUAUCCGGAUUUAUUGGGUUUAAAGGGUGCGUAGGCCGGGUGUUAAGUGUGCCGUGAAAUGCCGGGGCUCAACCCCGGCAGGGCGGCGGAAACUGGCGGUCUGGAGAGCGCGGGAGGUAUGCGGAAGGCGUGGUGUAGCGGUGAAAUGCUUAGAUAUCGCGCAGAACUCCGAUUGCGAAGGCAGCAUACGGGAGGGGAUCUGACGCUGAGGCACGAAAGCGCGGGUAUCGAACAGGAUUAGAUACCCGAGUAGUC